UCGAACGAUGAACCACUUCGGUGGGGAUUAGUGGCGAACGGGUGAGUAACACGUGGGCAAUCUGCCCUUCACUCUGGGACAAGCCCUGGAAACGGGGUCUAAUACCGGAUAACACUUCCACUCUCCUGAGUGGAGGUUAAAAGCUCCGGCGGUGAAGGAUGAGCCCGCGGCCUAUCAGCUUGUUGGUGAGGUAAUGGCUCACCAAGGCGACGACGGGUAGCCGGCCUGAGAGGGCGACCGGCCACACUGGGACUGAGACACGGCCCAGACUCCUACGGGAGGCAGCAGUGGGGAAUAUUGCACAAUGGGCGAAAGCCUGAUGCAGCGACGCCGCGUGAGGGAUGACGGCCUUCGGGUUGUAAACCUCUUUCAGCAGGGAAGAAGCGAAAGUGACGGUACCUGCAGAAGAAGCGCCGGCUAACUACGUGCCAGCAGCCGCGGUAAUACGUAGGGCGCGAGCGUUGUCCGGAAUUAUUGGGCGUAAAGAGCUCGUAGGCGGCUUGUCACGUCGGUUGUGAAAGCCCGGGGCUUAACCCCGGGUCUGCAGUCGAUACGGGCAGGCUAGAGUUCGGUAGGGGAGAUCGGAAUUCCUGGUGUAGCGGUGAAAUGCGCAGAUAUCAGGAGGAACACCGGUGGCGAAGGCGGAUCUCUGGGCCGAUACUGACGCUGAGGAGCGAAAGCGUGGGGAGCGAACAGGAUUAGAUACCCUGGUAGUCCACGCCGUAACGGUGGGACUAGGUGUUGGCGACAUUCCACGUCGUCGGUGCCGCAGCUAACGCAUUAAGUUCCCGCCUGGGGAGUACGGCCGCAAGGCUAAACUCAAGGAUUGACGGGGGCCGCACAACAGCGAGCAUGUGGCUUAUUCGACGCACGCGAAGAACUUACCAGGUUGACAUACACGGAAACAUUAAG
RNAcentral lists this ribosomal RNA (912 nucleotides) under Streptomyces flavovariabilis. RNAcentral describes it as "bacterial SSU rRNA". It matches the Rfam family "Bacterial small subunit ribosomal RNA", at positions 62 to 1003 of the family's 1533-position model. The record is from RNAcentral. Lineage: Bacteria; Bacillati; Actinomycetota; Actinomycetes; Kitasatosporales; Streptomycetaceae.